UCGUGUGAAGUGUUCGGAGUUUUAAAAAAAAUAUAUAUUUUUUAUUUUAUAAUUCAUGCAUGAAAAAUUAACAGACGUGACCAUACCUGUGACCAUACAUUCUGCCUUCGCCAUAUCCACGCCUGUGACCAUACUUUUUUCGCUCGCCCAACAUCCACUUUGACACUGCUAGCAUCCAGACGCACUCCUUUAAACCCAGCUCGAUCGUGAAGUAUAUGACUGUCUGGCCAUUCGCAUCCUCCGCAUUGAGAUCUCGUUCGACAGACUUAUUGACAAGGAGGUUUUAUAGGACAGUAGCGUCGGUAGCGUUCUACCAAGGGUCCGCCUACCUUGCAUAAAAAUAUUUUAUUUUUUUUACUCUUUGCUGUCUCACGUGCACAGCACUUGUGUUCUAAAUUUUUUUAUUACUUCAUGAUUAGUGCGAAGAGGUCGGAGCUUCAAAUUUUUUUUCUUUUAUUUUAUGAUUCAUGCAUUAAAAAUCAAUGAAAUCGCACGAUGGAAAAUCAAUGCUCUAUCUUCGCCCCACGUCCACUCCAGCGCCACCAAUAUUCGGAUGCACUCCUUCGAAGCCGAUCUGAUCAUGAAGUGUAAGGCUGUCUAGCCAUUCAUGUCCUCCACAUCGGAGUCUCAUUCAAUGGACUCAUGGCAAGGAGGGUUCAUAGGGCGGUGGCAUUGGUCUUCUUGGUGGC
Molecule: long non-coding RNA, 689 nt
Filed under: Elaeis guineensis (African oil palm)
Lineage: Eukaryota; Viridiplantae; Streptophyta; Magnoliopsida; Arecales; Arecaceae
Description: long non-coding RNA (EGUI_LNC020715)
Source: RNAcentral